Molecule: transfer RNA, 66 nt
Filed under: Ampelophaga rubiginosa
Lineage: Eukaryota; Metazoa; Arthropoda; Insecta; Lepidoptera; Sphingidae
Description: tRNA-Pro
Source: RNAcentral
CAAAAAAUAGUUUAAAUAAAAUAAUAAUUUUGGGGAUUAUUGAUAAAGAAGUUUCUUUUUUUUUGA